GCUCAAUAGGAUGGUUUGCAGCAAUGUGGAUCGUCGUUUCGACAAGCUAUUGAGCGGUGCAGCGUUACAAACCAUGAUGUUUAGUGACACAAUUGGUAGUUUGUAAGUUCGCUUACUUGCUACUCUUAGCCUAGCAUGCAAGUUCCAUUGACUUGGACUAAUUGCAAAUGACUACUGACUUGGGGCAACUUGAGUUGGUGGUUGAGCCAGAGUGGGUGAAAGCCCUAUACCGUGCAGGCAUUCGUGUAACGAAUCGUGGAGGGAGCUGUAACAGGUUUCCAAUUUGUUAGAGUCGAGUUGCUUGAGAGUGCAACUUAAAGUGCGAGGUAAACUACUCGUAAGGCUAUGUAAUACGGCUACGACACCGAUAGCAAACAAGUACCGUGAGGGAAAGUUGAAAUAGAACUUUGCAGAGAGAGUUAACAGGGCGUGAAACCGUUAAUUGGCAAACGAAUCGGAGCCACGAAGUCGUUUCGUUGAGUUGGGUUGGGUUCAGCUUAGGACGAAAGUCUUGGGUGUAUUCCUGGCUCGACCAUUGUAAGCGUACACUGCAACCAGUUAGACGAUUGGUGAUGGGCCCAGUUGAUUGUAGAUGCUUGCAUCCACUUUUAACGCAGGACUUGUUUAUCCAAGUUAGUAGUAGCGUUGUAUGCCCUCGGGUAUAUUUAUGUUGCUGGGCUUGUGAUAAGUGAACUAUCUACCAAAUACUGACUGGCAAAAUGAAAAUCGCCUUGUGCGUUAUAUAAAAUGCUGCAGCUAGUAUAAGUGUUCACAUGCUCAACCAUAGGGUUUUAAGCUCAGCAUUUUUGAAUUUAGACUUGCAUUCUACCAGUGGGGCAACUCCUGGUGUUUGUACAGCUUCUAUCUAAUCGGGUGUUGACUUGAUUUUAUGUUGUUUGUGUAUGCUACGAUAGAGCGCAUAUACAAAGUUGUAAGCAAUUG
This 942-nucleotide ribosomal RNA is filed under the name Diptacus gigantorhynchus. RNAcentral describes it as "eukaryotic LSU rRNA". The stretch from base 148 to 942 matches the Rfam family "Eukaryotic large subunit ribosomal RNA", at positions 1 to 635 of the family's 3401-position model. Lineage: Eukaryota; Metazoa; Arthropoda; Arachnida; Trombidiformes; Diptilomiopidae. The record is from RNAcentral.